AUGCUUGCUUUGGCAGCAUGUACACAAAAAUUGGAAUAAUUCAGAGGAGAUUAGCAUGAUCCCUGGGCAAGGAUGAUACACAAAUACAAGAAGUAUUCCAUAUUUUU
Small nuclear RNA from Ictidomys tridecemlineatus (thirteen-lined ground squirrel), 107 nucleotides. NCBI's taxonomy places the organism in Eukaryota, Metazoa, Chordata, Mammalia, Rodentia, Sciuridae. The record is from Ensembl.